GUGUCAGCCGCCGCGGUAAUACGGAGGGUGCAAGCGUUAUCCGGAUUCACUGGGUUUAAAGGGUGCGUAGGCGGACAGGUAAGUCAGUGGUGAAAUCUCUGGGCUUAACUCAGAAACUGCCGUUGAUACUAUUUGUCUUGAAUGUCAUGGAGGUAAGCGGAAUAUGUCAUGUAGCGGUGAAAUGCUUAGAUAUGACAUAGAACACCGAUAGCGAAGGCAGCUUACUACAUGAAGAUUGACGCUGAGGCACGAAAGCGUGGGGAGCAAACAGGAUUAGAUACCCCGGUAGUCC
RNAcentral lists this ribosomal RNA (292 nucleotides) under uncultured bacterium. RNAcentral describes it as "partial 16S ribosomal RNA". It matches the Rfam family "Bacterial small subunit ribosomal RNA", at positions 505 to 796 of the family's 1533-position model. The record is from RNAcentral.